AACUACUUACCUGUAGAAUACGUAUAUAGUCCGGCAGUAUGCACAUAUAUUUGUCCACAACAAUUUACUUUUCAAUCAGAAAAAAAAUGCACAAAGUAUAUAUCAAGUGCACAUGUAUACAAUAAAGCACCGCACUAUAUCCAUUGUACUGAAUUGAAAAACCAUGCAAGUAGCGUAAAUCAGAAGAAAUUCUCCACGAUUCAGAAUAUUUCGAAACAUGUUAUAUGCUGUGUUUCUGGUUCUAAACUUAACCGUAAAAACAUGAACGGCAUUAAAUUGUCCACCUUUCAAUCGUGUCGAGUUCAUGCUGUCAAUUUAAUAUAUAAUAUUUACAUGAUAGUAUUCUCCUUUCAAACACGGACAUCAAAUUCUAAAUUAUUCAAUUACCAUGCGUUAAUUCCUACACUAUCAAACUAUCCAAAUUUAUUUACAAUGCGAUUUAAAAUACACAUUACUUUCACGAGGUUUAAUAGCGGAACAAUUAGUUUAAGG
RNAcentral lists this long non-coding RNA (492 nucleotides) under Mytilus galloprovincialis (Mediterranean mussel). Lineage: Eukaryota; Metazoa; Mollusca; Bivalvia; Mytilida; Mytilidae. The record is from RNAcentral.